UGGGGAAUUUUGGACAAUGGACGCAAGUCUGAUCCAGCCAUGCCGCGUGCGGGAAGAAGGCCUUCGGGUUGUAAACCGCUUUUGUCAGGGAAGAAACGAGUUUCUCUAAUACAGAGACUUAAUGACGGUACCUGAAGAAUAAGCACCGGCUAACUACGUGCCAGCAGCCGCGGUAAUACGUAGGGUGCGAGCGUUAAUCGGAAUUACUGGGCGUAAAGCGUGCGCAGGCGGUUAUGUAAGACAGAUGUGAAAUCCCCGGGCUCAACCUGGGAACUGCAUUUGUGACUGCAUGGCUAGAGUACGGUAGAGGGGGAUGGAAUUCCGCGUGUAGCAGUGAAAUGCGUAGAUAUGCGGAGGAACACCGAUGGCGAAGGCAAUCCCCUGGACCUGUACUGACGCUCACGCACGAAAGCGUGGGGAGCAAACA
RNAcentral lists this ribosomal RNA (427 nucleotides) under uncultured bacterium. RNAcentral describes it as "bacterial SSU rRNA". It matches the Rfam family "Bacterial small subunit ribosomal RNA", at positions 355 to 774 of the family's 1533-position model. The record is from RNAcentral.